Molecule: non-coding RNA, 45 nt
Filed under: Schistosoma margrebowiei
Lineage: Eukaryota; Metazoa; Platyhelminthes; Trematoda; Strigeidida; Schistosomatidae
Source: RNAcentral
AUUCAACUGUCGAGUCCCAAAUAGGACAGGACGCGCGUCUUGGAU